UUUUUGUUGUUAGUUUUAAUUUUUAUGUAUUUUCGAAUUUUUUGUGAAUUUUUAAAAAUUGACUAUUUCACCACUUUUGGAGACAUGCGGAACGAAAAUGGUAACCCUAAGGGUGGUGAGUAAAUCGUGAAACUGAUAACCCUAUACUCAGCUCUUAUUUACAUUUCGAAACGUCAAAAAAUGAAAAGCAAAAUCUCAAACCAUAACAAACGGAUUCGGUGGUGCAAUUUUCCCCCAUCACAGCCGUCGGGAUUUACGCCGAAAAUCAAGUUGGUCCCAGCUCACGCAUUAAUGCGAUCGUUUUGUAAAGUCCCAGGUGUAAUAGCCGGCUCUAAACGUUGGAAUUUAAACUGAUAUCUGUGGGAAAUAACUUCGACGGGUGUUCUCCUCUGUGGGCUAAAAUUUACUGGAGACAGGGCAUCUAACGUCGAAAAUUGGCGCAAUAAUUCGAGCGGUUAUCGAUUCGACCCGGCCAGUGAUAAACCGAAGCGGUAUGUACUUGCAAAGUUCCCGUAACAGUGCUAACGUGCUGCAAGCGACGAGUUGGGAUGCGGUUAGGCUGCCAAGGCCAACAAAGUAUGCCGCAACGCAGCGGAAGAUUCCG
Aedes aegypti (yellow fever mosquito) is the source of this 604-nucleotide long non-coding RNA. RefSeq lists it as uncharacterized. The transcript is spliced from 2 exons. NCBI's taxonomy places the organism in Eukaryota, Metazoa, Arthropoda, Insecta, Diptera, Culicidae. The record is from RefSeq and is a predicted model, not a curated record.